CCUCUUGCCAUCGGAUGUGCCCAGAUGGGAUUAGCUAGUAGGUGGGUAACGGCUCACCUAGGCGACGAUCCCUAGCUGGUCUGAGAGGAUGACCAGCCACACUGGAACUGAGACACGGUCCAGACUCCUACGGGAGGCAGCAGUGGGAAUAUUGCACAAUGGGCGCAAGCCUGAUGCAGCCAUGCCGCGUGUAUGAAGAAGGCCUUCGGGUUGUAAAGUACUUUCAGCGGGAGGAAGGGAGUAAAGUUAAUACCUUUGCUCAUUGACGUUACCCGCAGAAGAAGCACCGGCUAACUCCGUG
RNAcentral lists this ribosomal RNA (301 nucleotides) under uncultured bacterium. RNAcentral's name for it is "bacterial SSU rRNA". It matches the Rfam family "Bacterial small subunit ribosomal RNA", at positions 211 to 507 of the family's 1533-position model. The record is from RNAcentral.